RNAcentral lists this unclassified non-coding RNA (262 nucleotides) under Hevea brasiliensis (rubber tree). The record is from RNAcentral. Lineage: Eukaryota; Viridiplantae; Streptophyta; Magnoliopsida; Malpighiales; Euphorbiaceae.
GUUGCAUUGUAAUUAUUUUUUGUGAGCUGCUUCAAGAAAAUUUUGAUGAUUUCUGCUUCCAAAUCUGAAAAUUUUGGUCUCUAGGAUGUUUUGAGUUAUUGCAAAGGCCUUUGGAUGAAGAGGUGAGAUUUUUGCCCUGCUUUUUCAAAGACUAGUAGUUGCUGGAUUGCUACUGUUUCAUAAUUCCUUAAUAGGUUUCCCCCUUGCUUAUUCCCAUUGUUUCUACUUUCAAUUUAUUGGUGAAAUUCGAGAUAUAUGUUUG